Molecule: ribosomal RNA, 254 nt
Filed under: uncultured bacterium
Lineage: Bacteria
Description: partial 16S ribosomal RNA
Rfam family: Bacterial small subunit ribosomal RNA
Source: RNAcentral
UACGGGGGGGGGCAAGCGUUGUUCGGAAUUACUGGGCGUAAAGGGCGCGUAGGCGGUUCGCUAAGUCGGAUGUGAAAACUCUGGGCUCAACCCAGAGCCUGCAUCCGAAACUGGCGGGCUAGAGUUCUGGAGGGGGUAGCGGAAUUCCUGGUGUAGCGGUGAAAUGCGUAGAUAUCGGGAGGAACACCGGUGGCGAAGGCGGUUCUCUGGGACGGUACUGACGCUGAGGCGCGAAAGCGUGGGGAGCAAACAGG